UACGGAGGGUGCAAGCGUUAUUCGGAAUUACUGGGCGUAAAGCGCGUGCAGGCGGGUAUGCAAGUCUGAUGUGAAAGCCCCGGGCUCAACCUGGGAAGUGCAUUGGAAACUGCAUAUCUUGAGUACUGGAGAGGAAGGGGGAAUUCCCGGUGUAGAGGUGAAAUUCGUAGAGAUCGGGAGGAAUACCAGUGGCGAAGGCGCCCUUCUGGACGGUAACUGACGCUGAGACGCGAAAGCGUGGGGAG
Molecule: ribosomal RNA, 245 nt
Filed under: uncultured Syntrophobacter sp.
Lineage: Bacteria; Pseudomonadati; Thermodesulfobacteriota; Syntrophobacteria; Syntrophobacterales; Syntrophobacteraceae
Description: partial 16S ribosomal RNA
Rfam family: Bacterial small subunit ribosomal RNA
Source: RNAcentral